Molecule: ribosomal RNA, 450 nt
Filed under: Pediococcus acidilactici
Lineage: Bacteria; Bacillati; Bacillota; Bacilli; Lactobacillales; Lactobacillaceae
Description: bacterial SSU rRNA
Rfam family: Bacterial small subunit ribosomal RNA
Source: RNAcentral
CGAACGAACUUCCGUUAAUUGAUCAGGACGUGCUUGCACUCGAAUGAGAUUUAACACGAAGUGAGUGGCGCGACGGGUGACUAACACGUGGGUAACCUGCCCAGAUAGCAGGGUGAUAACACCUGGUAAACAGAUGCUAAUACCGUAUAACAAAGAAAACCGCCUGGUUUUCCUUUAAAAGAUGGCUCUGCUAUCACUUCUGGAUGGACCCCCGGCGCAUUAGCUAGUUGGNGAGGUAACGGCUCACUAAGGCGAUGAUGCGUAGCCGACCUGAGAGGGUAAUCGGCCACAUUGUGACUGAGACACGGCCCAGACUCCUACGGGAGGCAGCAGUAGGGAAUCUUCCACAAUGGACGCAAGUCUGAUGGAGCAACGCCGCGUGAGCGAAGAAGGGUUUCGGCUCGUAAAGCUCUGUUGUUAAAGAAGAACGUGGGUGAGAGUAACUGUUCA